Molecule: small nucleolar RNA, 102 nt
Organism: Oryctolagus cuniculus (rabbit)
Lineage: Eukaryota; Metazoa; Chordata; Mammalia; Lagomorpha; Leporidae
Gene: SNORA70
Rfam family: Small nucleolar RNA SNORA70
About the family: snoRNA U70 seems to be exclusive to mammals and is a member of the H/ACA class of snoRNA which contain H (ANANNA) and ACA box motifs. H/ACA box snoRNAs are involved in the conversion of uridines to pseudouridines (5-ribosyluracil) a constituent of structural RNAs (transfer, ribosomal, small nuclear, and small nucleolar).
Source: Ensembl
UUAAUACAUUUAAAGAAAUAAUGGCUGUGAAUAGUAGCCUUCUCAGCAGUGUAUUUAACCUGUUGCUUGUAUGGGUUGUCUUAAGAAACCUUGGAGAGAGCC